Molecule: non-coding RNA, 343 nt
Organism: Terrapene triunguis (Three-toed box turtle)
Lineage: Eukaryota; Metazoa; Chordata; Testudines; Emydidae
Source: the annotation of a RefSeq genome assembly
AUGGCCUGGGCCCCUCUGCUCCUCACACUGCUCACUUACUGCUCAGGGGUCAGUUCGCAGCCCGUGGUGACUCAGGAGCCCUCGAUGUCGGUGACCUCAGGAGGGGCUGUCACUCUGUCCUGCAGCCUGAGCACUGGAGCCAUCACCACCAGCAACUAUCCAGCCUGGUACCAGCAGAAACCAGGCUCUGCUCCUCAGCUGCUUAUAUACAGCACCAAUUCCAGACCCUCCGGAAUCCCUGCCCGGUUCUCUGGGUCCAUAUCCGGUAACAAGGCUGCCCUGACCAUCACCGGUGUCCAGGCAGAGGAUGAGGCUGACUAUUACUGUGCUGUAACAACUGGUA